GAUGAACGCUGGCGGCGUGCCUAAUACAUGCAAGUCGAGCGAACGGACGAGAAGCUUGCUUCUCUGAUGUUAGCGGCGGACGGGUGAGUAACACGUGGAUAACCUACCUAUAAGACUGGGAUAACUUCGGGAAACCGGAGCUAAUACCGGAUAAUAUUUUGAACCGCAUGGUUCAAAAGUGAAAGACGGUCUUGCUGUCACUUAUAGAUGGAUCCGCGCUGCAUUAGCUAGUUGGUAAGGUAACGGCUUACCAAGGCAACGAUGCAUAGCCGACCUGAGAGGGUGAUCGGCCACACGGGAACUGAGACACGGUCCAGACGCCUAAGGGAGGCAGCAGUAGGGAAUCGUCCGCAAUGGGCGAAAGCCUGACGGAGCAACGCCGCGUGAGUGAUGAAGGUCUUCGGAUCGUAAAACUCUGUUAUUAGGGAAGAACAUAUGUGUAAGUAACUGUGCACAUCUUGACGGUACCUAAUCAGAAAGCCACGGCUAACUACGUG
This 497-nucleotide ribosomal RNA is filed under the name uncultured bacterium. RNAcentral's name for it is "partial 16S ribosomal RNA". It matches the Rfam family "Bacterial small subunit ribosomal RNA", at positions 28 to 507 of the family's 1533-position model. The record is from RNAcentral.